RNAcentral lists this microRNA precursor (78 nucleotides) under Dipodomys ordii (Ord's kangaroo rat). RNAcentral's name for it is "mir-3473 microRNA precursor family". It matches the Rfam family "mir-3473 microRNA precursor family". The record is from Rfam by way of RNAcentral. Lineage: Eukaryota; Metazoa; Chordata; Mammalia; Rodentia; Heteromyidae.
ACCACUGAGCCACCUUCCCAGCCCCUGUUCUGUUUUUCAUAUCAUAAAAAUCUGGGACUGGGAAGGUGGCUCAGUGGU